ACGCUGGCGGCACGCUUAACACAUGCAAGUCGAACGAAGUAGCAAUACUUAGUGGCAGACGGGUGAGUAACAUGUGGGUAUCUGCCCUUUGGCCUGGAAUAACACGAGGAAACUUGUGCUAAUACCGGAUAAGUCUUUACGGAGAAAGCUUUAUGCACCAUUGGAUGAGCCCGCACUUGAUUAGUUUGUUGGUGGGGUAAUGGCCUACCAAGACUGUGAUCAAUAGCUGAUUUGAGGGGAUGAUCAGCCACAUUGGGACUGAGACACGGCCCAAACUCCUACGGGAGGCAGCAGUGGGGAAUCUUGCACAAUGGAGGAAACUCUGAUGCAGCGAUGCCGCGUGAGUGAAGAAGGCCCUUGGGUUGUAAAGCUCUUUCGUCGGGGAAGAAAAUGACUGUACCCGAAUAAGAAGGUCCGGCUAACUUCGUGCCAGCAGCCGCGGUAAUACGAAGGGACCUAGCGUAGUUCGGAAUUACUGGGCUUAAAGAGUUCGUAGGUGGUUGAAAAAGUUAGUGGUGAAAUCCCAGAGCUUAACUCUGGAACUGCCAUUAAAACUUUUCAGCUAGAGUAUGAUAGAGGAAAGCAGAAUUUCUAGUGUAGAGGUGAAAUUCGUAGAUAUUAGAAAGAAUACCAAUUGCGAAGGCAGCUUUCUGGAUCAUUACUGACACUGAGGAACGAAAGCAUGGGUAGCGAAGAGGAUUAGAUACCCUCGUAGUCCAUGCCGUAAACGAUGUGUGUUAGACGUUGGAAAUUUAUUUUCAGUGUCGCAGCGAAAGCGAUAAACACACCGCCUGGGGAGUACGACCGCAAGGUUAAAACUCAAAUGAAUUGACGGGGAUCCGCACAAGUAGUGGAGCAUGUGGUUUAAUUCGAAGAUACGCGCAGAACCUUACCAACACUUGACAUGUUCGUCGCGACUCUAAGAGAUUAGAGUUUUCGGUUCGGCCGGACGAAACACAGGUGCUGCAUGGCUGUCGUCAGCUCGUGUCGUGAGAUGUUGGGUUAAGUCCCGCAACGAGCGCAACCCUCACUUUUAGUUGCCAUCAUUAAGUUGGGCACUCUGAAAGAACUGCCAGUGAUAAGCUGGAGGAAGGUGGGGAUGACGUCAAGUCCUCAUGGCCCUUACGUGUUGGGCUACACACGUGCUACAAUGGUAUCUACAACAGGAAGCAAGACUGCGAGGUCAAGCAAAUCCUUAAAAGAUACCUCAGUUCGGAUUGCACUCUGCAACUCGAGUGCAUGAAGCUGGAAUUACUAGUAAUCGUGGAUCAGCGUGCCACGGUGAAUGCGUUCCCGGGUCUUGUACACACCGCCCGUCACACCAUGGGAGUUGGUUCUACCUUAAGGCAAGGUUUCAAACCCUUGACCACGGUAUAGUCAGCGACUGGGGUG
Molecule: ribosomal RNA, 1392 nt
Filed under: uncultured marine bacterium
Lineage: Bacteria
Description: bacterial SSU rRNA
Rfam family: Bacterial small subunit ribosomal RNA
Source: RNAcentral